Molecule: ribosomal RNA, 606 nt
Filed under: Rhodococcus qingshengii
Lineage: Bacteria; Bacillati; Actinomycetota; Actinomycetes; Mycobacteriales; Nocardiaceae
Description: bacterial SSU rRNA
Rfam family: Bacterial small subunit ribosomal RNA
Source: RNAcentral
GCGGUAAGGCCUUUCGGGGUACACGAGCGGCGAACGGGUGAGUAACACGUGGGUGAUCUGCCCUGCACUUCGGGAUAAGCCUGGGAAACUGGGUCUAAUACCGGAUAUGACCUCCUAUCGCAUGGUGGGUGGUGGAAAGAUUUAUGGUGCAGGAUGGGCCCGCGGCCUAUCAGCUUGUUGGUAAGUAAUGGCCUACCAAGGCGACGACGGGUUGCCGACCUGAGAGGGUGACCGGCCACACUGGACUGAGACACGGCCCAGAUUCCUACGGGAGGCAGCAUUGGGGAAUAUUGCACAAUGGGCGAAAGCCUGAUGCAGCGACGCCGCGUGAGGGAUGACGGCCUUCGGGUUGUAAACCUUUUUCAGCAGGGACGAAGCGCAAGUGACGGUACCUGCAGAAGAAGCACCGGCUAACUACGUGCCAGCAGGCGCGGUAAUACGUUGGGUGCAAGCGUUGUCCGGGAUUACUGGGCGUAAAGAAUUCGUAGGCGGUUUGUCGCGUCGUUUGUGAAAACCAGCAGCUCAACUGCUGGCUUGCAGGCGAUACGCCAGACUUGAGUACUGCAGGGGAGACUGGAAUUCCUGGUGUAGCGGUGAAAUGCGCAG